UACACUCACCGGCCACUGUAUCAGGUACACCAUGUCACCUGCUUCUUUAUUGGUUUUCUGCAUUUUACCAGGUGGGAAAUCAUAUUUGGUAACUCCAAAAUCUUGUAUUGUAUUUUGAAACAAAACUGGAUUGUCAGAGGUCAGAGGAUAAUGGACAGACUACUUUGUGCCGAUAAGAAGGAAGUCAGAUAACCACAGGUAUGCAGAAGAGCAUCUUUAAGCACACAAAACAGAGAACCCGGAGGCAGAUGAGCUACAGCAGCAGAAGACCACACCAGGUGUCACUCCUGUCAGCUAAGACCAGGAAACUAAAACUUCACACGUGGCUUACCAAAACUGAGAAGCAGAAAACUGCAAACACAUUGCCCAGUCAGAAGAGCCUUGAUUUCUGUUGCAACGUUCGGAUGAUAGGCUCUCAAUUUGGCAUAAAAAACAUGAACGCAUGGGUCCAUCCUGCUUUGUACCAGCAGUUCGGACUCAGUAUCGACUGAGCAUUGUUUAAACACCCCAGCUUGCCUGUAUAUCAUUACUGACCAUGCUCAUCCCUUUUAUUACCAGUGUAUCCAUCGUGCCUGUAUAACACACGUCACUAAACUCAAUCAUCUCAAACUGGUUCCUUGAACAUGAGAAUGAGCUCACUGUCAGCAGAUCUCAAUCUGUUUGGGAUGUGGUGGAACAGGACAUCGUCAUCUUGGAUUUCAGCCAAUAAAUCUGCUGCAGCUUUGUGAUGUCAUCAUGUUAAUAUGUGCCAGAAUCUCUGAGGAAUGUUUCCAGCACCUUGUCAAAUCUAUGCCACAAAGAAUUGAGGAAGUUCUUAAGGCAAAACUGUCUCCAUUAGUUACUGGCAAGGUGUAACUAAUGAAGUGACUACCAAGUUUAUUUAUUUUAUAUACAUAUAAAAGUAGCUAGAUAUAAGCGUGCACGCAUAUAUAAAUAUUGCAGACUUUCUUCGGCAAUUACCACAUGGGUGUUGUCGCCUUCCUCCAGUCUCCAUCUUGUUGCACUUCUACCAAAGUUACAUAACCCUCCACAGGAAAUAUGGGUCGCAGAGCAGGAACUAGUACUUGUCAGGCAAUCUUUUAAUGACGAAGCCUAGCAUCAGAUUCCUAACAUAUGACUUUUACUUUACUAAUGGAUGUAUUUCUAUUAAAAUAUGUUUUGCUGUAUGUACCUGAUAUUUCACACCGUUCUGUUCAGCAGAUGAAAACAGAGGGGGGUGGGGGGGGGUGUUUGUUUGUUUUAUUAAACUGGAAACUUGUUAUUCCACUUCCUCACUCGCUUUCACUUUCACACAAGCCGUGGGAGCUCCUCUCGUGCGGUUUAAUGCUCUUGUAAUGUUUCUGAAUUGAUGUUGAGUUUCUUUGUUUGUUUGUUUUUUUUACCUAUCUAACAGCUAACAUGUCAACAAUCAAUUCAGGAUACAUUUUUAAAUUAAGGCAUUACUUUUAUCAAUCCCCUUAUCACUUUCGGCACAUAAAAUUCUUACCAAUCCGGAUCCACGUUGCCUACAUUUGAGAGGGCGUAAAAGGCACAAAACCAUACAGGUAAGUGUUUUAUUUAGACAAUGACAACAUUUGGAUAUAUCCACUCGAACUCUAGCCACAGUAAAUCUUGCUGCAACUGCAGCCAACCUGGAGCGUGCACACUUCUGCUGGCAUGAACAUUUCUCACUACACAGCGCACUGGGCCUUUGCUCUAUAGGUCUGUUGGACUUUUACAUCAAAAUAAUCAAAAAAAGUGUUGUGGGUGGGAAAUAGACCAAAAAAAACCAACAAAAAAAAAAAACACAGAGGCUGAAUGUUGGUGGCAGAAGAAUGUGUUGCAUUCCCUUGAACAGCACAGCGGGCGUCUUAUUUUAUAAGAACAAAACAAAAAAAACAA
Molecule: long non-coding RNA, 1881 nt
Organism: Oreochromis niloticus (Nile tilapia)
Lineage: Eukaryota; Metazoa; Chordata; Actinopteri; Cichliformes; Cichlidae
Exons: 2
Source: RefSeq, a predicted model, not a curated record